GCUCUCAUAGCUAAAUGGAUAAGGCACCUGCCUCCUAAGCAGAAGAUUGUCGGUUCGAGUCCGGCUGAGAGCAC
RNAcentral lists this transfer RNA (74 nucleotides) under Streptomyces phage Tomas. RNAcentral describes it as "tRNA-Arg". It matches the Rfam family "tRNA". Rfam says of the family: Transfer RNA (tRNA) molecules are approximately 80 nucleotides in length. Lineage: Duplodnaviria; Heunggongvirae; Uroviricota; Caudoviricetes; Stanwilliamsviridae. The record is from RNAcentral.